GGAAAUAAACGGAUCUUGAAAUAACUGCAGUGAGAGCCUCAAAUCCUAGUUGCUACUACCACAGGCUUGUUCGCAGUGCUGAGGAGGUGGUGGUGGAGAUGGCGGGGAAGAAAGUCUGAAUGAGGAAGGAAAGUGAGAAUUUUUGUGUGCAUGUGUGGGAUUGGGGGAGGGGGGAACGCAGGACGUGUAAAUGAGGAGGAAAGUGAUUUUAUGUGCGUUGUUUUUUUUUUUUGUUUUUUUUUUUAAAUUCCAUGUGCAUUGACACAUGGCUGUUCGCCGCACCACGUCAUUUUGCAGUCACCGGAAUAUAUUUGCGGGUCACAAAUAAGAAAAAAAUAGAACGAUGGGUAUUAUUUUGUAAUUAUCCUUAGGGUGAGAUAUUUUUGAGAAAACGCUCAAACGAUGGGUCAAAAAGUGAUAUUUACC
This 426-nucleotide long non-coding RNA is filed under the name Salvia miltiorrhiza (redroot sage). Its description in RNAcentral is "long non-coding RNA (SMIL_LNC003923)". Lineage: Eukaryota; Viridiplantae; Streptophyta; Magnoliopsida; Lamiales; Lamiaceae. The record is from RNAcentral.